RNAcentral lists this ribosomal RNA (528 nucleotides) under uncultured Actinomycetes bacterium. RNAcentral's name for it is "bacterial SSU rRNA". It matches the Rfam family "Bacterial small subunit ribosomal RNA", at positions 8 to 522 of the family's 1533-position model. The record is from RNAcentral. Lineage: Bacteria; Bacillati; Actinomycetota; Actinomycetes.
AGAGUUUGAUCAUGGCUCAGGACGAACGCUGGCGGCGCGCUUAACACAUGCAAGUCGAGCGAGAAUCAGUCCUUCGGGACUGAGGACAGCGGCGAACGGGUGAGUAACACGUGGGUAAUCUGCCCUCGAUUCUGGGAUAGCCCGGGGAAACCCGGAUUAAUACCGGAUAGCCUCUCUGGCCUUCGGGCCGGUGAGAAAAGGUAGCUUCGGCCUCCGAUCGAGGAUGAGCCCGCGGCGGAUUAGCUUGUUGGUGGGGUAACGGCUCACCAAGGCGACGAUCCGUAGCUGGUCUGAGAGGACGAUCAGCCACACUGGGACUGAGACACGGCCCAGACUCCUACGGGAGGCAGCAGUGGGGAAUCUUGCGCAAUGGGCGAAAGCCUGACGCAGCGACGCCGCGUGGGGGAAGACGGCCUUCGGGUUGUAAACCUCUUUCGACAGGGACGAAGCCACUCGGGUUAAUAGCCCAGAGGGUGACGGUACCUGCAGAAGAAAGCUCCGGCUAACUUCGUGCCAGCAGCCGCGGUA